GACGAACGCUGGCGGCGUGCUUAACACAUGCAAGUCGAGCGGUAAGGCCCUUUCGGGGGUACACGAGCGGCGAACGGGUGAGUAACACGUGGGUGACCUGCCCUCCACUCUGGGAUAAGCCCGGGAAACUGGGUCUAAUACCGGAUAGGACCUCUCAACGCAUGUUGGGUGGUGGAAAGUUUUUUCGGUGGGGGAUGGGCCCGCGGCCUAUCAGCUUGUUGGUGGGGUGAUGGCCUACCAAGGCGGUGACGGGUAGCCGGCCUGAGAGGGCGACCGGCCACACUGGGACUGAGACACGGCCCAGACUCCUACGGGAGGCAGCAGUGGGGAAUAUUGCGCAAUGGGCGGAAGCCUGACGCAGCGACGCCGCGUGGGGGAUGACGGCCUUCGGGUUGUAAACCUCUUUUAGUAGGGAAGAAGCGAAAGUGACGGUACCUGCAGAAAAAGCACCGGCUAACUACGUGCCAGCAGCCGCGGUAA
RNAcentral lists this ribosomal RNA (480 nucleotides) under uncultured bacterium. Its description in RNAcentral is "partial 16S ribosomal RNA". It matches the Rfam family "Bacterial small subunit ribosomal RNA", at positions 28 to 523 of the family's 1533-position model. The record is from RNAcentral.